GGAGAAACCAUGGGAUCGCAAGACCUUGCGCUCAUUGAGCGGCCGAUGCCUGAUUAGCUAGUUGGUGAGGUAAAGGCUUACCAAGGCGACGAUCAGUAGCUGGUCUGAGAGGACGACCAGCCACACUGGGACUGAGACACGGCCCAGACUCCUACGGGAGGCAGCAGUGGGGAAUUUUGGACAAUGGGGGAAACCCUGAUCCAGCCAUGCCGCGUGAGUGAAGAAGGCCUUCGGGUUGUAAAGCUCUUUCAGCCGGAACGAAACGGUCACGGCUAAUACCUGUGACUACUGACGGUACCGGAAGAAGAAGCACCGGCUAACUACGUGCCAGCAGCCGCGGUAAUACGUAGGGUGCGAGCGUUAAUCGGAAUUACUGGGCGUAAAGCGUGCGCAGGCGGUUUUGUAAGUCAGAUGUGAAAUCCCCGGGCUUAACCUGGGAACUGCGUUUGAAACUACAAAGCUAGAAGGG
RNAcentral lists this ribosomal RNA (469 nucleotides) under uncultured beta proteobacterium. RNAcentral describes it as "bacterial SSU rRNA". It matches the Rfam family "Bacterial small subunit ribosomal RNA", at positions 189 to 649 of the family's 1533-position model. The record is from RNAcentral. Lineage: Bacteria; Pseudomonadati; Pseudomonadota; Betaproteobacteria.